AAUGAACGCUGGCGGCAUGCCUAACACAUGCAAGUCGAACGAGACCUUCGGGUCUAGUGGCGCACGGGUGCGUAACGCGUGGGAAGCUGAACUUAGGUUCGGAAUAACUCCCCGACAGGGGUGCUAAUACCGGAUAAUGUCUUCGGCCCAAAGAUUUAUCGCCUUUGGUUGGGCCCGCGUUGGAUUAGCUAGUUGUUAGGGUAAAAGCAUAACAAGGGGAGGAUCCAUAGCUGGUCUGAGAGAAUGAUCAGCCACACUAGGAGUGAGACACGGCCCAGACUCCUACGGGAGGGAGCAGAGGGGAAUAGUGGACAAUGGGCUGAGGGAUGAACGAGCAAGGACGGGAGAGUGAUGAUGGUAGGAGGGUUGUAUAGUUCAAUUAACCGGGAUGAUAAUGACAGUACCGGGUGAGUAAGCUACGGCUAACUACGUG
Molecule: ribosomal RNA, 433 nt
Filed under: uncultured bacterium
Lineage: Bacteria
Description: partial 16S ribosomal RNA
Rfam family: Bacterial small subunit ribosomal RNA
Source: RNAcentral